AGUAGUCCUCUCAACAGAAAAUAUAAGAAGAAUAAAUAGACCAAAUUCCAUCUAUUUCUGCUCCAGUAGCAACCAUUUGGACAGAAAAGACAGAGAGGUUAAUAAGCAAAUGAAGGCUUUCAUGUGAUGUGUCCAGUCAAGAAGUAUGAAUUUUGUCUGCAUUCUUUUACAACUAUUCAGGAUGUGCCUUCAAGGAUUCUUGGUUAACAGGAAGAUGAUUUAGCCAUGCUGCUUAAGAUGUAGAAGAAAAUCCUAGCAUUACUAUCACAAAAAGAUACACCAUGAGAUGACAAGGGACUGUGGGAUUGCCACAGAGACAAAGUACCUCCCCUUAACCAGAAUAUUCUCUGUGUCCCCAUCUCUGCACUUUACUGGAUGAAUCCUAAUGUUGAUGAAAAUCCCAGAUGUAGCUAACUGGAAAAAGCAUUGAAGAAAAUGUAUCCUUCAUAUUCUUACAUUGACCAGUGUGUGUGUUUAGAAAUCAGUUCCCCAUUUCCAAGGGAAUGGGACCAUCCUUUCACAGAGUGCUCUGCUAUGCUGCUGACUAAUAAA
This is a long non-coding RNA of Sceloporus undulatus (fence lizard), 552 nucleotides long. RefSeq lists it as uncharacterized. The record is from RefSeq and is a predicted model, not a curated record. The transcript has 6 exons. Lineage: Eukaryota; Metazoa; Chordata; Lepidosauria; Squamata; Phrynosomatidae.